Molecule: long non-coding RNA, 1333 nt
Filed under: Phasianus colchicus (ring-necked pheasant)
Lineage: Eukaryota; Metazoa; Chordata; Aves; Galliformes; Phasianidae
Description: lncRNA (ENSPCLG00000015095.1)
Source: RNAcentral
UUUCACCCCAAAAUGCCAUUUUUUACCCCCAAACCCCCCUAUUUCCACCCCAAAUCCCAUUUUUCCACCCCCAAAACCUCACUUUUCAUCCCAAAAAAACCCACAUUUCCACCCCAAAUCCCGCUUUUUUAACCCAAAAACUCCACUUCCUCACCCCAAAAAUUCCACAUUUUCACCCUAAAGCUCCAAUUUUUCACCCCCAACUCCACACUUUCGACCCCAAAACCCCCCUUCCACCCCCAAUCCCCGCUUUUUCACCCUAAAAAUGCACUUUUUUACCCCCAAAACAUCCUUUUUCACCCCCAAAUUCCACUUUUUCACCCCCAAAAUUCCACCUUUUCACCCCAAAUUUCCACCUUUCCACCCCCAAAAUUCCACCUUUCCACCCCAAAUUUCCACCCUUUCACCCCAAAUUUCCACCCUUUCACCCCCAAAUUCCACUUUUUCACACCACAUUUCCACCCUUUCACCCCAAAAUUCCACUUUUUCACUCAAAAAUUCCACCUUUUCACCCCCAAAAUUCCACCCUUUCACCCCAAAAUUUCCACUUUCUCACCCCAAAAUUCCACCCUUUCACCCCAAAUUUCCACUUUUUCACCCCAAAUUUCCACCCUUUCACCCCAAAUUUCCACUUUUUCAUCCCAAAUUUCCACCCUUUCACCCCAAAAUUCCACUUUUUCACCCCAAAUUUGCACCUUUCCACCCUAAAAUUCCACCUUUCCACCCCAAAUUUCCACAUUCCACCCCCAAACCUCCAUAUUUCCCCCCCCCCAGGCCCCAUCUUUCACCCCAAAACACGGCGGGGGCGAAAUUAAUGAAUGAGAGCCAAUUAAUGACUUAAUUAGCAGGCCGUUAAUUAACGAGGGCGGUACCUGAGACGUCGGGGAAUUUGGGGUUGCUGCCCCCCCCCACGAUGGCCAGCAGGUUGGAGCGGUUCAGCAUCUCCACCAGCCCCACGCUGCCCACCUGCUCCGCAUCUGGGGGGGGGAAGUUAAUUAGCUGCAGUUAAUUAACAUUCAUAAUUACUGCUCCUCCCCCCCCACAUCCCCAGACCCACAGAAGGUUGGAAAAUGGGGGGGUUUUGGGGUGGGGGGGGCAAUUAGUGGGACCCCCCUCAUCACACACACAGACCCAUAGAAGUUUGGAAGAACUGGGGUGGGGAGGGGAGUAAUUAACAGGACCCCCCCCCCCUAAUUAAUAUUCAUAAUUACUGCCCUCCCCCCACAUCCCCAGACCCACAGAAGGUUGGAAAAUGGGGGGGUUUUGGGGCGGGGGGGGCAAUUAGUGGGACCCCUCCCCCCAUCACACACAUAUACUCACACCCAUAGAAGUU